RNAcentral lists this ribosomal RNA (254 nucleotides) under uncultured bacterium. RNAcentral describes it as "partial 16S ribosomal RNA". It matches the Rfam family "Bacterial small subunit ribosomal RNA", at positions 524 to 776 of the family's 1533-position model. The record is from RNAcentral.
GACGAAGGGGGCUAGCGUUGUUCGGAUUUACUGGGCGUAAAGGGCGCGUAGGCGGCCAGCACAAGUCAGUUGUGAAAUCUCCGAGCUUAACUCGGAACGGUCAACUGAUACUGUGCGGCUAGAGUGCGGAAGGGGCAACUGGAAUUCCACGUGUAGCAGUGAAAUGCGUAGAGAUGUGGAGGAACACCGAUGGCGAAGGCAGCCUCCUGGGCCAGCACUGACGCUCAUGCACGAAAGCGUGGGGAGCAAACAGG